UGUGGGGCGGAGGGGGCUUCCUUCAGCCUAGAUUGCGAGAGGGUGCAGGCCAGGCCGAGGGACCCCACUGAUGCAUG
RNAcentral lists this microRNA precursor (77 nucleotides) under Myotis lucifugus (little brown bat). RNAcentral describes it as "mir-9193 microRNA precursor family". It matches the Rfam family "mir-9193 microRNA precursor family". Lineage: Eukaryota; Metazoa; Chordata; Mammalia; Chiroptera; Vespertilionidae. The record is from Rfam by way of RNAcentral.